RNAcentral lists this ribosomal RNA (254 nucleotides) under uncultured bacterium. RNAcentral's name for it is "partial 16S ribosomal RNA". It matches the Rfam family "Bacterial small subunit ribosomal RNA", at positions 524 to 776 of the family's 1533-position model. The record is from RNAcentral.
UACGGAGGGAGCUAGCGUUGUUCGGAUUUACUGGGCGUAAAGGGCGCGUAGGCGGCCACCGCAAGUCGGUUGUGAAAUCUCUGGGCUUAACCCAGAAAGGUCAACCGAUACUGCGGGGCUAGAGUGCAGAAGGGGCAACUGGAAUUCUUGGUGUAGCGGUGAAAUGCGUAGAUAUCAGGAGGAACACCUGCGGCGAAGGCGGGUUGCUGGGCCGACACUGACGCUGAUGCGCGAAAGCUAGGGGAGCGAACGGG